CUAUUUGUCCAAAAACACGGCGACCUUUUAAAUAUUCUUCAUCAACAACGACAACACCAUCAAUGGUAUCCACAUAAUCACCGUGAUCACCAAAAUCUCGACUUCCAAGGUAAACAGUUAUCUUACCAUUGGGAGCAGUUUUCUUAUACACUUUAACGGCAACAGCAUAGGCUAGGAACAGAGAUACAGUUCAACUUGAUUGAUGAACAAAUUACGUUUCUUGGAUUCUCCCAAAUUCAAUGUUUUUGCUUCUCCAAAGGUAAACUUUGCAGUCAAAUUUAUUGAUGAAAUUGAAAAGGCACAUUGGAAACCAUAUGAAUGGCUUAAUCGAGAAACUUGAUAAGGUUUCUUAACAACCAAUAAGAUUACUAUUCAUCUUGAUUAUUCAUUUGAUUUUGAUUCUGAUGAUGCACACCAAAUUAACAAUUUAUACGGACUCUUUCCUAAGUUAGUGUUGGUUUGCUGAUGAAAUCACUGAUCACUUGAAAAAAUAUGGACACAAGGAUCACAGUAAAGUUUUAUGGUUAUUGAUGGCAAUCAUUACAAUAAUGAGAUAUAAUUAUGAAAACCUAUGAUGAUGAUGACUUAAUGAUGGUAAUGGUGAGCACAAUGAUGACUUUGAUGGCUAAAGUUAAUGAAAUGAUGGAAACUAAUGGCUAUGGAUCAAGCUGCAAGUUUAACUUUUACAAAUUGUAUCCAGUCGUGUAAACAGCAAAGUUGGUCAAAUUGUUUUACUUUUCUUCAACAAUCUGUUGAUUGUAUUGGGAAUCACGCUGAUGAAGCUGUUGUUGCUAAUUUUAUCUAUCAUGUUCACCAAAUUUACAAGAGUAAAAGUGGUUCAUUCACUAAAGCAAAGCACAAAUGAAAAACAAAGAGCAACUUACAGGGAAAGGAUGGAUUACAAUUGGAUUGAAAGCAGAACAAGCAAUGAAGAUGAUAAAGAUAGAGAUGAUAACGAAGGAGAAGAUUUUUUGCCGCUCAUCUAUUUUUCUUCGUAUCUCAAGAAAUGAUAAAAAAUUGUGAACAAUGUGUUGAGGAUAAUAUGAGGGAAAAAUAAGAUGAUGAAAAGAGAGUUUGCUGUUGAACAUGUUGGAGAAAAAAAAGUUCUGAUUCAACUCAGCUCAACCAUGAUUCCAUUCAUCAGCUCUUUCUUUAUCUUCAUCCCUUCUCUCAGCCUGCAGGUUAACUUUGGCUAAAUUAUUCACCAAACCCUCUCUUCCAGAAACUAAACUCCCUGUGAAUUUAUCAACUUGUUUAUUUAUCCAUUUGUUUUGCUUGUUCUCAUCAUAUUAUGAGGCAAACAAAUUACUCAUGUUUAUCAUCAACAGAUGAUUGUACACUUGAAGGGUUAAUCAAAAGGCGCCACUUGAAUCAAAAUGUAAACUUGAAAGAACGAAAUUGUUUGAUUACAGAAAUUGUAAACAAAAUUAAUCAAAUCUAUUGAACAAGCUGAAAAUGAAUGUGAAAAGUAAAACAAAAAAAGGUUAAAAAACCCAAAAUAGAUUAUUGAACAUUAGGUUCAACUUUAUUUAGACUGUUGCCAUCAAAUAAUUGGAUUUGAUUGAAAUGAUUUUACUCUUGAUUGUUAAUGUAAUGAAAACCCUUGCAAUACACAAAAAAGCAAAAUUAAGCUAAUAUGGUUGAUACAAAUCUGUAUAUAUAAACAUUGUAUUUAUCCAACUUGUU
Molecule: non-coding RNA, 1686 nt
Organism: Tetranychus urticae (two-spotted spider mite)
Lineage: Eukaryota; Metazoa; Arthropoda; Arachnida; Trombidiformes; Tetranychidae
Source: RefSeq, a predicted model, not a curated record